Habropoda laboriosa is the source of this 828-nucleotide RNA transcript. It is a transcript of the gene named phospholipase A2-like, with no coding region annotated. Lineage: Eukaryota; Metazoa; Arthropoda; Insecta; Hymenoptera; Apidae. The transcript is spliced from 5 exons. The record is from RefSeq and is a predicted model, not a curated record.
AAGUGUACGAUGCGGAUACUUUUGUUGUUUGCCAUAAUUGGCCUUUCGGCCGUGGAAUUUGGAAAAUGUGAUUAUUCGAAUUCAGAAACGGUAACAGAAACUUACGUGGGUGCAGUGGAAAAAUCAAUUCAAACGCUGAUAAAAUCUGAACAAGCUGUUAAACAAAGAAUUGUAGCAAUUAAAGAUAUAUUGAGAGACCUAACGCCUAACAUUCUACCUAAGAGAAAUACAACUGGAAAGGUGAGAAAAAGAAUUGGUGAUUUCUUGAACCCGUUGAAAUCGAAAAUUAAAGCAAUAUUUCCAGGAACAUAUUGGUGCGGCGAUGGGAACAUAUCUCCCAACGAAAAAGAUCUCGGUCUGUUUGAAACAACGGAUGUUUGUUGCAGACAGCACGAUUCUUGUUCAGAUACUAUCUUAACGGAAGAAAAACGGGAUGGCCUUGUAAACAAUGGUAUAUUCACUAGAUCGUCGUGUGAUUGUGACAGCGAAUUUUAUCGAUGUCUAAAAGAAGCCAGUAAUAUCGUAGCUUUUAACAUUGGGAAAACAUAUUUCAAUAUUUUAAGACCCCAGUGUUUUCAGACGUAUUAUCCUAUUCAAGGCUGCAGAAAAUACACAGGGCGCCGAUUUACACACGACAAAUGUGACCAAUACAUUUACAACGUUACAUUGCCAGAGAUAAUGCAGUGGUUCGAUAAUCCGGAUUUUUAAAAUUUUUCAUCGAUCGAAUAAUCGAACACAUGUACACAGUAAAUCUUAAUUGUACCAUACUAAAAAAUUAUAUAAAAUUUGUUAAAAGAUCGUUGUUCGAUAAUUCUAACUUAACAGACA